This is a small nuclear RNA of Sciurus vulgaris (Eurasian red squirrel), 107 nucleotides long. The record is from Ensembl. Lineage: Eukaryota; Metazoa; Chordata; Mammalia; Rodentia; Sciuridae.
GUGCUCGCUUAUGCAACACAUAUACUAAAAUUGGAAAAAUUCAGGCAAGAUUAGCAUGGCCUUUGCCCAAGAAUGACAUGCAAAUUCACGAAGCAUUUCAAAUAUAU